This 253-nucleotide ribosomal RNA is filed under the name uncultured bacterium. Its description in RNAcentral is "partial 16S ribosomal RNA". It matches the Rfam family "Bacterial small subunit ribosomal RNA", at positions 524 to 776 of the family's 1533-position model. The record is from RNAcentral.
UACGUAGGGGGCAAGCGUUGUCCGGAUUUAUUGGGCGUAAAGAGCGUGUAGGCGGUUUGGUAGGUCCGCUGUGAAAACUCGAGGCUCAACCUCGAGACGCCGGUGGAAACCAUCAGACUAGAGUCCGGAAGAGGAGAGUGGAAUUCCUGGUGUAGCGGUGAAAUGCGCAGAUAUCAGGAGGAACACCGGUGGUGUAGACGGCUUUCUGGACCGUAACUGACGCUGAGACACGAAAGCGUGGGUAGCAAACAGG